Molecule: ribosomal RNA, 388 nt
Filed under: uncultured bacterium
Lineage: Bacteria
Description: bacterial SSU rRNA
Rfam family: Bacterial small subunit ribosomal RNA
Source: RNAcentral
AACGAACGCUGGCGGCGUGGAUAAGACAUGCAAGUCGAACGCUGAUUUCAGGGUAGCAAUAUUCUGGAGUCGGAGUGGCGCAAGGGUGCGUAACACGUGGGUAAUUUGCCGUGAAGUUGGGGAUAACUCGCUGAAAGGCGAGCUAAUACCGAAUGUGAUCAUUGGAAGGCAUCUUCUGAUGAUUGAAGUUGGGGACCGCAAGGCCUGACGCUUCACGAUAAGCCCGCGGCCUAUCAGCUAGUUGGUGAGGUAACGGCCCACCAAGGCUUAGACGGGUAGCUGGUCUGAGAGGACGACCAGCCACACUGGAACUGAGACACGGUCCAGACACCUACGGGUGGCAGCAGUCGAGAAUUUUCUCAAUGGGCGAAAGCCUGAAGGAGCGACG